Molecule: unclassified non-coding RNA, 222 nt
Filed under: Hevea brasiliensis (rubber tree)
Lineage: Eukaryota; Viridiplantae; Streptophyta; Magnoliopsida; Malpighiales; Euphorbiaceae
Source: RNAcentral
CUCAGGUCUCCAACCUUCAACAAGGAACACUACACCUACGUGAUAUGCAGAGAAAUAUGAAGCUGGUUUGGUCUCCAGAUACAGCUUUAAAUGCUUAUAUUUACACUGUUAAANNNNNNNNAUCUCAAAGAAUCUGGCGUACCUGAGCUCCUCUCCGCCUUGGCUGCCGGCUGGAAUGCCACCCUCAUAGUAGAAUCAUGGUCUCACGGAAGUCCAACGGCC